CUCACCCUCGUAAGACUACCCGCUGAACUUAAGCAUAUCAAUAAGCGGAGGAAAAGAAACCAACAGGGAUUGCCUCAGUAACGGCGAGUGAAGCGGCAAAAGCUCAAAUUUGAAAUCCCCCGGGAAUUGUAAUUUGAAGAGAUUUGGGUCCGGCCGGCAGGGGUUAAGUCCACUGGAAAGUGGCGCCACAGAGGGUGACAGCCCCGUGAACCCCCUUAAAGCCCUCAUCCCAGAUCUCCAAGAGUCGAGUUGUUUGGGAAUGCAGCUCUAAGUGGGUGGUAAAUUCCAUCUAAAGCUAAAUACCGGCGAGAGACCGAUAGCGAACAAGUACAGUGAUGGAAAGAUGAAAAGCACUUUGAAAAGAGAGUGAAAAAGUACGUGAAAUUGUUGAAAGGGAAGGGCUUGCAAGCAGACACUUAACUGGGCCAGCAUCGGGGCGGCGGGGAGCAAAACCACUGGGGAAUGUACCUUUCGAGGAUUAUAACCCCGGUCCUUACUCCCUCACCAUCCCGAGGCCUGCAAUCUAAGGAUGCUGG
RNAcentral lists this ribosomal RNA (536 nucleotides) under Metschnikowia chrysoperlae. RNAcentral describes it as "LSU rRNA". It matches the Rfam family "Eukaryotic large subunit ribosomal RNA", at positions 1 to 536 of the family's 3401-position model. Lineage: Eukaryota; Fungi; Ascomycota; Pichiomycetes; Serinales; Metschnikowiaceae. The record is from RNAcentral.